RNAcentral lists this ribosomal RNA (253 nucleotides) under uncultured bacterium. RNAcentral describes it as "partial 16S ribosomal RNA". It matches the Rfam family "Bacterial small subunit ribosomal RNA", at positions 524 to 776 of the family's 1533-position model. The record is from RNAcentral.
UACGUAGGGUGCGAGCGUUGUCCGGAAUUAUUGGGCGUAAAGAGCUCGUAGGCGGUUUGUUGCGUCGGCCGUGAAAACCUGCAGCUUAACUGUGGGCCUGCGGUCGAUACGGGCAGACUUGAGUUCGGUAGGGGAGACUGGAAUUCCUGGUGUAGCGGUGAAAUGCGCAGAUAUCGGGAGGAACACCAAUGGCGAAGGCAGCUCGCUGGGACGUUACUGACGCUGAGACGCGAAAGCGUGGGGAGCAAACAGG